Centruroides sculpturatus (bark scorpion) is the source of this 849-nucleotide long non-coding RNA. RefSeq lists it as uncharacterized. The record is from RefSeq and is a predicted model, not a curated record. The transcript has 4 exons. NCBI's taxonomy places the organism in Eukaryota, Metazoa, Arthropoda, Arachnida, Scorpiones, Buthidae.
UUAACAUUGACUUCUAGUAAUUGUAGACUUUUAAAUGGAAUAAAUAUUAAAUAACAGUUAAAAAAUUAAAUACAAAAACAAAAUGAAGUCAACAACAGAUAAGAAGGCAAUUAUCAUAAUUAAUUAACAUAACAGAAUAUUACGUGUUAUAUGAAUUGGUUGAUAAUAGAAUAAUUAUCUUAGAUUAAAUGCCCAGAAAAGGGGAAAAAAUGCCUAAAACAAGUAAAGCUAUGAUAUUAUUUUGAUUCACCGAUUGUCGUUGGUUAUUACAGGACAGAUACGCCAAAGGAAAGUUUCUUCCGGAAAUUGACGAACAUCAAGAUUGGGAACUUCUGUGGUAUCAAAAGACCGAUACGCAUACAAAGUUUCGUUUUAAAAGAUUUCUCAUUCCUUGCGAUUCACAAGAUUUACACAUAACUGAUGAAACUACGAGAUUAAUAUUCGCCUACAAUGACGAAAAUCCUGGUUCUACGGGUGAGAUCUCAUAUCAUGGUCCAAAAAAUAGAGGAACCAAGAGUGUUACUUUAAAGAAGUAUGAGAGGGGUGUAUUGCUAGAAAAUCCUAGCGAUCUGUAUCACUGGGAAGUCACACAUUCAAACGUGCGAAUUCCUGAUAAUAGUGAUACUGAAUACUACUGCAAAUUUUUCAGAGUACCUGAAUUAAGUCGAAAACAUCACAUUGUUAAAGUGGAUACAGUUAUCGAACCGGGAAACGAAAAACUUGUACAUCAUAUGAUAUUAUAUGAGUGUACAAACGUCGAGACGGAAAAAAUAGCGCCUUAUUUAAAUGAAGAAUACACUGAAUGUUAUACUAAAGAUAACUUGCCGAAAUUUCCAUUUUGUUUUACUG